AACGAACGCUGGCGGCGCGCCUAAUACAUGCAAGUCGAGCGAGAAGACGUAGCAAUACGUUUGUAAAGCGGCGAACGGGUGAGGAAUACAUGGGUAACCUACCCUCGAGUGGGGAAUAACUAGCCGAAAGGUUAGCUAAUACCGCGUACGCUCCUUGGACUUCGGUUCAGGGAGGAAAGCGAUACCGUGGGUAUCGCGCUCUUGGAUGGGCUCAUGUCCUAUCAGCUUGUUGGUGAGGUAACGGCUCACCAAGGCUUCGACGGGUAGCUGGUCUGAGAGGACGAUCAGCCACACUGGCACUGCGACACGGGCCAGACUCCUAUGGGAGGCAGCAGUAAGGAAUAUUGCGCAAUGGGCGAAAGCCUGACGCAGCGACGCCG
RNAcentral lists this ribosomal RNA (380 nucleotides) under uncultured bacterium. RNAcentral describes it as "bacterial SSU rRNA". It matches the Rfam family "Bacterial small subunit ribosomal RNA", at positions 29 to 399 of the family's 1533-position model. The record is from RNAcentral.